GACGAACGCUGGCGGCGUGCUUAACACAUGCAAGUCGAACGGAAAGGCCCUGCUUUUGUGGGGUGCUCGAGUGGCGAACGGGUGAGUAACACGUGAGUAACCUGCCCUUGACUUUGGGAUAACUUCAGGAAACUGGGGCUAAUACCGGAUAGGAGCUCCUGCUGCAUGGUGGGGGUUGGAAAGUUUCGGCGGUUGGGGAUGGACUCGCGGCUUAUCAGCUUGUUGGUGGGGUAGUGGCUUACCAAGGCAUUGACGGGUAGCCGGCCUGAGAGGGUGACCGGCCACAUUGGGACUGAGAUACGGCCCAGACUGCUACGGGAGGCAGCAGUGGGGAAUAUUGCACAAUGGGCGGAAGCCUGAUGCAGCAACGCCGCGUGCGGGAUGACGGCCUUCGGGUUGUAAACCGCUUUCGCCUGUGACGAAGCGUGAGUGACGGUAAUGGGUAAAGAAGCACCGGCUAACUACGUG
This 468-nucleotide ribosomal RNA is filed under the name uncultured bacterium. RNAcentral's name for it is "partial 16S ribosomal RNA". It matches the Rfam family "Bacterial small subunit ribosomal RNA", at positions 28 to 507 of the family's 1533-position model. The record is from RNAcentral.